RNAcentral lists this small RNA (1343 nucleotides) under Pongo abelii (Sumatran orangutan). RNAcentral describes it as "retained intron". Lineage: Eukaryota; Metazoa; Chordata; Mammalia; Primates; Hominidae. The record is from RNAcentral.
GCCUUAUCUUUCCAGUCGUCCAGCAUGCUCUGCCCACCCCACGCCGAGGUGCACUGACCAUGAGCCUCAACUCCUCCCUCGGCUGCAGGAAGGAGCUGAGUAACCUCACUGAGGAGGAGGGUGGCGAAGGGGGCGUCAUCAUCACCCAGUUCAUCGCCAUCAUUGUCAUCACCAUUUUUGUCUGCCUGGGAAACCUGGUCAUCGUGGUCACCUUGUACAAGAAGUCCUACCUCCUCACCCUCAGCAACAAGUUCGUCUUCAGCCUGACCCUGUCCAACUUCCUGCUGUCCGUGUUGGUGCUGCCUUUUGUGGUGACGAGCUCCAUCCGCAGGGAAUGGAUCUUUGGUGUAGUGUGGUGCAACUUCUCUGCCCUCCUCUACCUGCUGAUCAGCUCGGCCAGCAUGCUAACCCUCGGGGUCAUUGCCAUCGACCGCUACUAUGCUGUCCUGUACCCCAUGGUGUACCCCAUGAAGAUCACGGGGAACCGGGCUGUGAUGGCACUUGUCUACAUCUGGCUUCACUCGCUCAUCGGCUGCCUGCCACCCCUGUUUGGUUGGUCAUCGGUGGAGUUUGAUGAGUUCAAAUGGAUGUGUGUGGCUGCUUGGCACCGGGAGCCUGGCUACACGGCCUUCUGGCAGAUCUGGUGUGCCCUCUUCCCCUUUCUGGUCAUGCUGGUGUGCUAUGGCUUCAUCUUCCGCGUGGCCAGGGUCAAGGCACGCAAGGUGCACUGUGGCACAGUCGUCAUCGUGGAGGAGGAUGCUCAGAGGACCGGGAGGAAGAACUCCAGCACCUCCACCUCCUCUUCAGGCAGCAGGAGGAAUGCCUUUCAGGGUGUGGUCUACUCGGCCAACCAGUGCAAAGCCCUCAUCACCAUCCUGGUGGUCCUCGGUGCCUUCAUGGUCACCUGGGGCCCCUACAUGGUUGUUAUUGCCUCUGAGGCCCUCUGGGGGAAGAGCUCCGUCUCCCCGAGCCUGGAGACUUGGGCCACAUGGCUGUCCUUUGCCAGCGCUGUCUGCCACCCCCUGAUCUAUGGACUCUGGAACAAGACAGUUCGCAAAGAACUACUGGGCAUGUGCUUUGGGGACCGGUAUUAUCGGGAACCAUUUGUGCAACGACAGAGGACUUCCAGGCUCUUCAGCAUUUCCAACAGGAUCACAGACCUGGGCCUGUCCCCACACCUCACGGCACUCAUGGCAGGUGGACAGCCCCUGGGGCACAGCAGCAGCACGGGGGACACUGGCUUCAGCUGCUCCCAGGACUCAGGUAACCUGCAUGCUUUAUAAGCCUCUCGCCUGUCGCGUUUUCCCCGUGUUGCGUUUCCCCCAUGUCGCGUUUCCCCAGUG